Molecule: long non-coding RNA, 275 nt
Organism: Corvus hawaiiensis (hawaiian crow)
Lineage: Eukaryota; Metazoa; Chordata; Aves; Passeriformes; Corvidae
Exons: 2
Source: RefSeq, a predicted model, not a curated record
CUAACCCACAGAAAUGCAAGAGGUCUCCUUGAGAAUCGUUAUCCCAUCAGACUUCCAGCCUUGUUUCCAGAGAGUAGAGGGCAGGCUGCCAUGCUUUGUCUCGAAACCGUUUGGGGAUUUCUUUCUGUAUCGGAGGCGGGUAGACUGAGCAUAGCAGAAGACCCACAUCUGGGAGAAGCCCUCACACAAAUGGAUGCUUCUUACUCUUGCAAUCUAACAGCAAGCAGUUAUUUCUAACACACUGUAUAUAAUAAACUUUUGUCAACUGUUUACAA